CAUCUGUUUCAGACAUUUAUUUCCAUUUAAAUGACACUUUGAAAGAUCGAGGAGCCAAUCUGUACCGCAAAGACAACUUAUCAUCAAAGACUCUAGAAGUACAAUCGUAUCAAUUCACAAGACUUGAUUUCUUCAACUUAAAUGAUAGCUUUUAGUUAAAAUAUACCUGAGAGAAGAACUCCAAAGGAUGCCUGCCUCAUAAUCUGCCCUGGACUUGUCAUUCCCGACAGGACACCUCAAUGGACACUGCCCCACCCCAUUAAGACUCUGAAGCGUAGGGUCCCAUUGCUUUGCUUCCGAAAUCCAAGGGGAACAAGAAGUACCCAUCUCUUACAAAAAUAAGCAUGUCAACAUUGUUCAGUACAUUUUUCUACACAUAUAAAAUCAAAAUAAAUUGUAAAAAUAUUUUUCCAGGUACAAAAUAAAUAUAGAAAACAUCAAUGUAAAAACAAAAGGAUUGUCCGAUUCAGACCAUUACCUUGCCAAUUUUUCGGGAAGAGUGAAUUAUCACAUCAAUCGACAACCUAAAACUCACCUAGUUAAGUGCAUUAUUUUCAUAAUUUAAUUUUCAUUAAAAAUAAAUAUGAUUAUUAACCAAUAAUAAGGACAUAUACCCAUUUCCAAAAUACAAUGACAUAAGAGUCUAGCAGAUCCCCCUAAUAUACAAGGAAAUGACAGUUUCAAAUAGCAUUCAGUGACAUGUAAAUUUAAUUUCGUGUCUUUUAGGAAAAGCAAAAUUUGACUGCGAAGUCUCCUCUGGUUGCAUUAAGUAAUUUCCAGUCAUGGUAGAUUUUAGUGAUGUCUUAUUUGACCAGGUAAAACAAGUCAUCUAUUUCCCAUCUGAUACUCUCUGGAGCCGAAUUGAACCAAGUAUCACUAUGUCUUUGGCUUACCUCUUCGGGGACCCAGGGACUGGACCCCUGAGCCAACAGACCUCACGCUGGCUUCGCUGGCAGGAGGGUCUGCGCCUGGCUGUGUCCACGCCACACUGGCCAACUUAACUCUGCGCUUCUUUGACCAGUGAAUGGAGGUAGAAUAGAUGAUGUAAAGCAGUAUGACACAAAAUGUUGCAUUUGGCUAUGGAGUUCGUUUUUCUGCUCAUAUUUAAAAGUGAUUGUGUCUGAUAAGUAGGAAGAUCAUUUUUUAAAUUAAUUAAAAACUAAUUUUUUGUUUGUCAGUCUUCCGAUUGGCAGGUGCCAGGAUGCACUCCAACUUCCUCCUGUUGGCGUGGCUCUUGCCCUGUGCAGAGGGUGGACAGGUUCCCUUCAGCUUCAAGGCCAAUCUGAGAGCAAGAGGUCCGUUCCUAGCACUCAGAUUUCAACAGCAGGAAAACAGACAGAAAUUCAUGCCUCUACAUUCCCAGGGGCCACACACUGCAAAUCCUUCUCUCUACAUUCCCAACAGAGAAUGUAAGCACCUUUCAUAUCCCAGAGACAUAGUUAAGAGUUUACUUCAAAUACACCUCAGCCCAUGAUAAAGUUCCUAGUGUUCACAUACAGAUUUUGGGGUCACGUAGAACGAAACAGAAAUAAAAACAAGUCCCAACAAUAAUGAAUAAAAGAGGCUUCAGGAACUGAUGUUUGAAGGAACCUUACAGCUCACUCCCAGGCCACCAUUCUUUCUUGUGAUGGGAGUUGCCUUGUGGGUGCCUGAAUACCACCUUUGAGAGAUCCCCUGAGAACCCAAUAGAUAAUUAUCAAGUAUCUACUCUCCAGCAGGCACCAUGCCAGAGACCCAAACAGAGAGAGGAAUCAGGCUGGAAGAACUUUAAAAUCUGCCAGGAGCGACACAGCCAUGGAAAUUGCUAUAAUGUCCAUUCUGAUAUAACAAACGCUGAAAAUUAAUUAAUUAAAAAAAUGUUAUGAGAAAGCAAAUAAUUCCUGCUACAGUUUGAAUGUGUCCCCCAAAGUGCAUGUGUAAGGAAACUUAAUCCCCAGUGCAACAGCGUUGAGAGGUGGGACCUUUUAAGAGGUGACUGGGUCAGGAGGGUUCUGCUGUCAUGAAUGAAUUAAUGUUAUUAUAAGAGGAGGGUCAGUUAUUGCCAAGAGUGAUUUUAUCAAAGCAAGUUUUGCUCUUUUGCCCACAAUGACACAGCAUGAAGGCCCUCACCAGAGGCCAGUGCCAAGCUCUUGGACUUCCUAGCCUCUAGAACCAUGAGCCAGAUUAAUUUCUAUUGUCUAUAAAUCGCCCAGUCUGUGGUAUUCUGUUACAGCAACACAAAACAAACUAAGACACUUCCAAAUGGAGGACAUGGAGAAAAUGUAAACAUUGCCUCAUCUGUUUUUAAAAUGAGGGUGCAUGGCAGCUGUUAGAUUAAAUAAUUAACAAGCCUGAUUUAAUAUAUCACAGAGCCAUAGACUCUUGGCACGGAGGGCCCAUGAGAGUCACCAAAGCCUGUUUUUUUUUUUCUUUUGGAACUGUUUAUCAAGGAUUCUAAAUAGUAUUGCCUCCUCAGUUCUUGCCUGUAAAAAAAACACGUAGAUACUCAAUAGGCUGGUUGAUCUGUUUCACUUUAUUUCACUCUUUCUAAAUGUUCUGCCUGAAAGUUGGUGUCACAUCCUUCAGAGAUGUCUGGAACUGUGGACCACGCCUGCAGCUGGCUUCCACCUUACUGAACAUGGGUGUGUGGCACAUAGCUGUCAUAUAACAAAUGUGUGACUGAUUGUGCAAAGGUGAAAACGAGUGAGGCCCUCAACUCCACCCUGCCACCCCAACAGCUGAGGAGGGCAGUGGGGGUGCCUGCUGUUUUACAUCCCAGGUAAUUAAACCGCCCCUUGCUCUUCCACUGCCCUUCAUGGACACGGGUGGGGCAGUUAACAUUGUUCAGAACCAGCUUCCACUGAGCAUGGUAUCUCUAAUUAGAGCCUCAGAUCUGUCUGUCUGUCUCUCUCUCUCUCAUAGAUACACACACACACACACACACACACAGUCUGAGUGUGGCGCCCCCGGGCUUGUUUUGCAAGGGCAUUAGAUAGGGAGACAGGGAAAGUGGGCUGGACUGAAGAGUUUAUUUUCUGAAGCCAGACAUUUGUUUGGGCUGCCAUUGGACACUUGAGUAACCUCAAGAGAGGGCUGGCCAGGGCAGGACAGGUCAGGGGAUCCAGCUAAACGGGAGGUCCUUGGGAAUGACACAGAUAACUAAGUGCCGAAUCCCAGGAGGUCAAACAGGCCCAGGAAGGGGCAGACUGAAACUCAUAUCAACACUUGGAAAAAAAAAAGUGACAGAAGACAGGAAAAGGGGUCAGGUGGCACACUCCUUGGGCAGGGCUGGUCCCAAGCUUCCUAUGAAAGCAGAUACAUCGGAGGACUCACCACUGUGCCCCUGAUAAUCUUCUCAGCAUUGUGUAUUUACCCAGUGAAAGCUCUGUAUGCAAAACCCACGGCCUCGAACCUCAGCUUGACCCUCAUUCAGGAUGCCCGGUCAAAGCACUGAGCACUCAACAGAUGAAUAAAUAAACGAAUGAAUGUCUGACAUGGGAUUUCUGAUGCCAGCUUUUAAUCCUGGAUGUGCCACUCGCUGAAGGACCUGGCAAAGUCACUCCAUUUUUCUGAGCUUUGGCUUUCCUAACUGUAAAAGGUUUUAUCUUAAAAAAAAAAAUACUGUAGAUAAUUUCUAAGGCAUCUUCCAGCUCCAACUUCUUUUACCUCAUUCAGAUUUUCACAUAUUCUGAAUUAAGAGGGUCAAGAACACAGUGCUCUGAUUGUGAAGAAUGUCACGAACAGAAGAACUUCUCCAAGAGUUCCAGGAAAGAUUCAAAUGAAGAAAAAGAACAAGAGCUGAAACAAAGCCCUACAGACUCAAUCUGAAGAGUUUUUGAUUUGCACAGAGAUCACCAGACACUGACAGGUACACUGAUAGAUAGUGCUGUAUACACCACCAUAGAAUCCACCAAAAUUCACAGCCCAAACACUGACUAUAAUCAUAAGCACCUGCAUUUACUGAGCACCUACCAUGGGAUGUUGAGCAGUUUAUACUCAUCCUCUCAUUUAACCCACAUGAUCAUCCCAUGAGGCGGGAACUACUAUGGUCCCAUUCUUCAGAUAACAAAACGGAGACAAUGAGAAGAUAAGUAACUUGCCACUCAAGGGACUUGGCGAGGAAGGUAAAAUUCAAACCCAGGCAGCCUGACUCCAGAGCGCAGACCCUGCCCCAGCGAACAGAGCCCGGGGGUGAAGGGUAUGCCCAAGGUCACACUGGAGGGCUGAGGCCGAGUUCUAAAUGUACCACAGCUGGGUGCCAUGCAAGCUUGUCCCUCCCGCAUGCAUAUCUCACUCGCAUUGAUUCAGAGCAGGAGGGGGAAAAAAUGCCUAACACUGAGCACGUGUGAGGAUGAUGUCAUGGGAGGAGGAGGCUACAACUUCCAUUGAGACAACCAUUUCACACCUGGGCACUCCACACCACGCCAUCUUAACAAGACCUCCUUCUUCAUAUCGUUACUCUGCAAAUCACACACAGACCUUGCCCCCCAAAUCAGGGAUAUUUGGAAUAUAUAUCCUGAGUUUGCAGAGGCUAGCUUAGAGCCUGGGUCUGCAAUGGUGGUCUUGGAGUCUCAGGUCACAGAGGCUGGCCUGGUACCAAGAUCUACUAGGAUAAGCCUAGAUCCUGGGUCUACUUGAGCAAGUUGUAACCUGGGUCCUCUGCAGCCUGGGGCCAUGGAGACCUCUCUGGUACUUGGGGUCAGCCCGGUGCUGGGGAUAACAUGGAGCCUUGGUCUCUGGAUCUAUUUACCCCAAAUCAGGAAAUAACCAAGCAAACCCAUUGCUGCUAAGCAACCACUGCAGGCCAUUAGAUACAACAUCGCGAUAGCAGCCCAUGCAUUCAGCCUGCACCCAGUGCUAGGCACAGCCGUGCCAAGAACUCAAUGUGAAUUAUCUUAAUUUCCACACCUCUGACAACCUUCUGAGGUGAACACUAUUAUCAUCCCAUUUUAUAGAGAUGCAGAGACUGAGGUGCAGAGAGAAUGACCACCUGGGGCCACAGCUAGCAAAUUGCAGAGCCAGGGCUGGAACCCGGAGGCGGAGGCUUGAGCGGAGAUGUAAAUGGAAUGGGGCCUCCGUAAGUGGGUCGCCCAGCCCUGGAAGCAAGGUCUCCUCUUCCCCAGUUAGUAUCCUCCCAUGGGCCCUUUUCCCCAGCUUCCCCACCAGGUAGACAGUAACCUGGUGUCCCAGUUACCUCCUUACCGGGUGGGUCUCUAUUUUCCAUGGCUCCUGCCACCAUGGAAGCUGGAGGCUCUGCAAGGCUGUACGUCAGUACAGUUUCUACAGGUGCACAGGGCUAGCUGUGCCCUAAAGAGCGGACGGAAUCCACAUUCUGCACUUCUAGCUGCACAACCUUGGGGUGUGCACACACACACACAAUGCUUCCUUGUUCUUACCAUUCCCAGAGGCCAUGCUCAUAUUUGUUAGCUGAAAUUUAAAGCUUAGGAAGGAAUUUUAAUAAAUUACUUAUGAAACCAAAGUAAACAUCGGGAUAAUUUUUUGCACAAAAAUAACCACACUCAAGGGGAUCAAAAACUCGCAUGAAAAUUAAUUAUUUGGCUUUCCAAGUCCAUUUCAGCCCUCUGUGCCAGCCUGUUGGGAUAACCGGUGCAGCACCCGGUGCCCGGCGGGAGUUGGAAAUCACCAGUCUGACCUCUCACGGACGGCGUGGCCAAAGUUAACUUAGCAAAUUGAGGGCACUGCGAAGCUCGUUAAAUAGGCAAUGACACAUGAAACAAUGAAAAUUGCUGCUCUUGACCACGCUCACCCUCCUGCAGCCUCCAGGGAGGUGGCCUCGGGGCUCACUGACCCUGUGCCAGGAAGCUCUACCCUCAGGACAGGGUGCCAGAGGGCAAGUCACUGGCUUCCCUGGGCCUCUGAGUUUCCUAAUCAGAUUUGCUGUUUUAAAAAAUUACUCCAAAUGUCAAGUGGAGGACAGAUUGGAAAGUGGCAGGGACAGGCCCGUGGGACCAGUUAGGAGGAGGUGGCUCGAGUCGGGAUGAAUCCAGACAGGUGUGGGCGGCAAGCCAGAGGUUAGCACAGCGGGCGUGGGAUAUGGGGCUCAAGGAAAGAAGGCCUGGCAAGUUAUUGUUGACUUGGAUUUUUCUUUCCUCUCUUUUCACACAGUGUAUUAUGUGGUUACAAUGGUGUGUUUGAAGAGGAGCAGGAAUUAAAUACAUUUAGGGUUUUGUUUUGUUUUUUAAGGCAUGGUGGAUGCCAGCAGGCUGAAGGGUCAGGAGGUCUGGUCUUCCCACUGCCACUAAGUGCUGAGCUGAAGCACAAAUUCUUGAAACAUGGCUGGGUGUGGUGGCUCACACCUAUAAUCCCAGCACUCUGGGAGGCUGAGGCACGUAGAUUACCUGAGGUCAGGAGCUCAAGACCAGCCUGGCCAACAUGGUGAAACCCCGUCUCUACUAACAAUACAAAAAUUAGCUGGUUGGUGGUGCAUGCCUAUAAUCCUAGCUACUCGGGAGGCUGAGGCACAAGAACCCAGGAGGUGGAGGUUGCAGUGAUCCAAGACUGCACCACUGCACUUCAGCCUAGGUGACAGAGUGAGACUCUGUCUCAAAAACAAACAAACAAAAACAAGAGUUUGCAUGACAGUGUAGAUGAGACAGGACUGGCCAGGUGUCGGGCUGGAGGACAGGCGCACAGACUGCACCGUGUGAUUCUGUCCACCCUGCAUUGUGUGAGGUUUUCCGUUUUGGAAGAAAAGGGGUGAAGAGCAUGGCUGUGGAGCAUUUCUAGGUUUUCAGGUCACAGAGUCGCACCCAUUUCCUACUUACUGACUCAAGUGAAACCACAGUGUUGGCUUACUUUGAAAAAUAUUUCUUUUUUUUCAGUCCUGGUUCACCCAUUCCCUUCUAAAACCCACCUACCAUACCAAUACAUUCAGUUCCACUCAACAAAUGUUUAUUGAGCAUCUACUAUGUGCUGGGACCAUGCUAAGAAUCCAAGGUGCGUCAGUGAAGGAAACAGAGAAAGACCCACGGCCCACACAAAGGUUACAUUCAAGUUGCGUGAAACAUAAACCAUAAAAUAUAGAUAUGUUAUAAUAAACAGAUAUUACAUGCUUUGUUAGAAAUUGGUAAGUGCAAGGAAAACAAUAUAAGGUACGGGGCAUGGGAGUGAGGUGAGUUGCAUUUUCCUACAGGGAGGUCAGGGUAGGCCUCACUGAGAAGGUGACAUUGACCAAAUGUCAACAAGGCAAAGAAGCGAAGCAUGAGAGCAUCUGAAGAAAGGGCACUCCCAGCAGAGAGGACAGCCAGUGCCAAGGCUGACGGGGAUGGGCACAUAGGGCAAAGGGGCUGCUGUGGCUGGAACAGACUGCUGUUCAGGGAACAGCAAGAGGCCAGAGGGAGUGAGCAAAGGGACACGAUUAGGGAAUCACAGGUAGACAAUGGUAUGAAGGAUGUGGUUUUUAUCCUUAAUAUCCUUGGUGAUGGGAAACCUCAGGAGGGUUUUGAGCAGAGAAAUGAGAUUUUCAAAGGAUCACUCUGGAUGCUGCUGGGAAGAGACCAAAGGAUGCAAUAAUGGAAGCUGAGGGAGGGUCUGGAGGUAGCUGCACGAAUGCAGGUGAGAGGCAAUGCAGGCUUGAACAAGGGUGGUCGCAGUGGAGGGGCAGGAGGUGGUUGGCUCCUGGAGAGAAUUUGAAGGUAGUUCCCACAGUCUUUCCUGAUGCACCAGAUGGGAGAGGAGUCGGAAUGGCUCCAGGGCUUCCCACUUGAGCUGCAGGAAGAUGGAGUGGCCAUUACCUGAGACGGGAAUGGCUGCAGAUGGGCUGGAUGUGGGGCAGUUAACCAGAAGGUCAGUGUUGGAUUGUUCACUAUGGGAAAUCAGGUAGGCAGUGGAUUGAAGAGCAAGAAAGAGUUCUAGGCUGGAGAUAAAUGGAAACAUCAUCAACAUAUUUAAAGCCAUGAGACAAGGUGGGCCCCUCGGAGGACUGGGUAUAACCAGGGAAGAAAGGGGGCCCCACGCAGAGCCCAGGAUCCUCCAGCACGACACUGUCAGAGCAAAGAGAAGGAGCAAGCAGGGGAGAUGGAAAAGGCGAGCAGCAAGGAGGAGGGAGACCAAGAGCACCCGGUGUCCUGGAAGCUGGUGAUGAGGACUCGCCACGUCAAGCAGGAGGAGAACAAGAACUGCCCACAGGACCCAGCCACAGGGGGUGGUGGGUGCCCUGAGAAGGGCCAUGUGGGUGGAGUGGGGGUGCAGAAGUCUGAUGAGACGGCAUUUGGGAAAGAAGGGAAGGAUUAGGACGAGGCAACAGACAAGUAAAACUCUCGUGCGGGGUUCCACCAGAAACGCAACAGGAUGGGGCAGCGGGACGGGGAAGGGGGUCAGGGAAGGGGUCGGGGAAGGUGGUGGCCAUUUCUGGUCAGGUGGAAAAUGGCAGCGUGUCUGUGUGCUAAUGGGGUGAUCCAGCAGAGGGGACAGCAGGUGGUAGGACGAGAGUGAGGCCACAUCAGGAGCUGUGGAAGAAGAGCUGGAGUCAGUCCAAUACCAGGGGUUCUGGCACCACGGGGGCCAAGUGGCUUCUGCCACAGUCACAGUAGAAGGCAGAGUACGGAGGUUUGGGGGCUGGGUGUAGGCGUGUAUGGUUGGGGGAGUCUGAGGAGGCACCCCAGAGAGGCAGUGGGAGCAGCCAAUGCAAUGUGCUCCCACAGCUCCGUCAGCAGGUGGCUGGGGAGGCCACAGGGCAGCUUAGGGUCACCCCGUUUCCACCACUUUUCACCUAUGUAACCUUGAAUGAGUUGUUCACCCUCUCUCUCUCUGCCUCAGUUUCCUAAUCUGUAAACCUGAGCAACUGCAGGUCUCUGCCCCCGGAAAACUCAUUGAGAGCAUGUAGAUGAGGCAAUACCUACACAGCCCCUAGCUCAGCACCUGCCCAUCGGAAUCCUUCCUCUCUGGGUGCCUGCGGUGAAGCCCCGGCCCGGCCAACCUGGACCUCUCCAUUCCCACUCUGGAGCUAGCGCUGGGUGUUCCUGGGGAAGCACUGCUUGGCCUCCUCACUCAUGCUUUCACAUUGUUUCUCACUCUCACAUCCAGACAAGACAGCACCAGGAAACCCACGCUGAGCUGGAACCCUCCUUCUGCAACAAACAAGCUGGGAAGGUCCUGGGCAAGUUGUUACGUCUCUCUGAGCCUCGUUUGCAUCCCACAUAAAAGAGGAGGCAGGAUUGAAUGAGCUCUAAGGUUCCUUCAAGUUCUAGAUUCAUGAAAUAAUGUUUUUUCCUCAAGAAAAAGAAUUAUUCAUUGUAUAAAGAAAUACACACCUGUAAUCCCAACUACCCACUGGCUGAGGCAGGAGGCUCGUUUGAGGCUCGUUGAGUUCAAGGCUGCAGCGAGAUCAGGCCACUACGCUCCAGCUUGGGUGACAGGGUGAGACCCUGUCAGAAAAAAAGAAAAGAAAAGAAGAGGGAAGGGGAUGGGAGGGGAGGGGAGGGGAGGGGAAACAAUGGGUCUCAAAGAAAAUCCUUUAAGAACACACAGAAGCAGUAGGGAGAGCCCACGCCUGUCCUCAUUUGUCCCUGGAGCUGUGGGCUGUGAGCUGAUGCUGUGAAGGCCAGACCCAAAGCCAGUCACACAGAGGCAGCAGCUGGACCGGCCUCGCCGACUGAGACCAGUGGCCACACAGACACACACCUGACAAGGUAGACCACGAAACACAGACGCAGGCCUACUGCCAAACAGACGACUUCUCCCUCAAAGCACAGUCAUCUUCAGAAUGAGAGGCGGCCCAUCCUAUGGAACCGAGAGGCGUGGCUCUUAAAUUUGGGCUUCAAAAGACAAGCUCAGUCCCUGAUUUUUUCCACCUGAGAAGGAGGCUUUUCUGAACAUGACCCAGUGCGUUCAGAGCAGCCAGGAUGAGGAAACACAUCUACAAAGAAGCAGCUUAAUCCAAACACAAGAAAUGGUAUGCAAAAUAGGAUAUCAGACGUACUUUUGCAAUUGAACAUGGUCAAAACCAUUUUGCAGCAAGUAACUUUUCCUGAGUUCAAGUAAGAGUUUAGUCCAACAUUUAUAUGUGACACAGCCAUGUGAGGCCUCUUCUCUGAGUACAAAGUAAAGUCUGG
RNAcentral lists this long non-coding RNA (10052 nucleotides) under Homo sapiens (human). RNAcentral describes it as "HSALNT0273750". Lineage: Eukaryota; Metazoa; Chordata; Mammalia; Primates; Hominidae. The record is from RNAcentral.